This 753-nucleotide ribosomal RNA is filed under the name uncultured Flavobacterium sp. Its description in RNAcentral is "bacterial SSU rRNA". It matches the Rfam family "Bacterial small subunit ribosomal RNA", at positions 505 to 1265 of the family's 1533-position model. Lineage: Bacteria; Pseudomonadati; Bacteroidota; Flavobacteriia; Flavobacteriales; Flavobacteriaceae. The record is from RNAcentral.
GUGCCAGCCGCCGCGGUAAUACGGAGGAUCCAAGCGUUAUCCGGAAUCAUUGGGUUUAAAGGGUCCGUAGGCGGUCAGAUAAGUCAGUGGUGAAAGCCCAUCGCUCAACGGUGGAACGGCCAUUGAUACUGUCUGACUUGAAUUAUUAGGAAGUAACUAGAAUAUGUAGUGUAGCGGUGAAAUGCUUAGAGAUUACAUGGAAUACCAAUUGCGAAGGCAGGUUACUACUAAUAUAUUGACGCUGAUGGACGAAAGCGUGGGUAGCGAACAGGAUUAGAUACCCUGGUAGUCCACGCCGUAAACGAUGGAUACUAGCUGUUGGGAGCAAUCUCAGUGGCUAAGCGAAAGUGAUAAGUAUCCCACCUGGGGAGUACGAACGCAAGUUUGAAACUCAAAGGAAUUGACGGGGGCCCGCACAAGCGGUGGAGCAUGUGGUUUAAUUCGAUGAUACGCGAGGAACCUUACCAAGGCUUAAAUGUAGUUUGACCGGUUUGGAAACAGAUCUUUCGCAAGACAAAUUACAAGGUGCUGCAUGGUUGUCGUCAGCUCGUGCCGUGAGGUGUCAGGUUAAGUCCUAUAACGAGCGCAACCCCUGUUGUUAGUUGCCAGCGAGUCAUGUCGGGAACUCUAACGAGACUGCCAGUGCAAACUGUGAGGAAGGUGGGGAUGACGUCAAAUCAUCACGGCCCUUACGCCUUGGGCUACACACGUGCUACAAUGGCCGGUACAGAGAGCAGCCACUGGGUGACCAGG